UGGGGAGAGGAACUUGUUCCUCGAGUCGUUGAUUUCACACUGCCGAGAAAAGCCUCUAGCUAGAAUAACGGUGCCCGUACCGCAAACCGACACAGGUAGUCAAGAUGAGAAUUCUAAGGUGAGCGAGCGAACUCUCGUUAAGGAACUCGGCAAAAUGACCCCGUAACUUCGGGAGAAGGGGUGCUCUUUGAGGUUCACGCUUCGAAGAGCCGCAGUGAAUAGGCCCAAGCGACUGUUUAUCAAAAACACAGGUCUCUGCUAAACCGUAAGGUGACGUAUAGGGGCUGACGCCUGCCCGGUGCUGGAAGGUUAAGAGGAGUGGUUAGCGCAAGCGAAGCUACGAAUCGAAGCCCCAGUAAACGGCGGCCGUAACUAUAACGGUCCUAAGGUAGCGAAAUUCCUUGUCGGGUAAGUUCCGACCCGCACGAAAGGCGUAACGAUUUGGGCACUGUCUCAACGAGAGACUCGGUGAAAUCAUAGUACCGGUGAAGAUGCCGGUUACCCGCGACAGGACGGAAAGACCCCGUGGAGCUUUACUGUAGCCUGAUAUUGAAAUUCGGUACAGUUUGUACAGGAUAGGUAGGAGCCUUAGAAGCGUGAGCGCUAGCUUACGUGGAGGCAUUGGUGGGAUACUACCCUAAUUGUAUUGGAUUUCUAACCCGCAGCACUUAUCGUGCUGGGAGACAGUGUCAGGCGGGCAGUUUGACUGGGGCGGUCGCCUCCUAAAGAGUAACGGAGGCGCUCAAAGGUUCCCUCAGAAUGGUUGGAAAUCAUUCAUAGAGUGUAAAGGCAUAAGGGAGCUUGACUGCGAGACCUACAAGUCGAGCAGGGUCGAAAGACGGACUUAGUGAUCCGGUGGUUCCGCAUGGAAGGGCCAUCGCUCAACGGAUAAAAGCUACCCCGGGGAUAACAGGCUUAUCUCCCCCAAGAGUUCACAUCGACGGGGAGGUUUGGCACCUCGAUGUCGGCUCAUCGCAUCCUGGGGCUGUAGUCGGUCCCAAGGGUUGGGCUGUUCGCCCAUUAAAGCGGUACGCGAGCUGGGUUCAGAACGUCGUGAGACAGUUCGGUCCCUAUCCGUCGUGGGCGUAGGAAAUUUGAGAGGAGCUGUCCUUAGUACGAGAGGACCGGGAUGGACAUACCUCUGGUGUACCAGUUGUCGUGCCAACGGCAUAGCUGGGUAGCUAUGUAUGGACGGGAUAAGUGCUGAAAGCAUCUAAGCAUGAAGCCCCCCUCGAGAUGAGAUUUCCCAACUUCGGUUAUAAGAUCCCUCAAAGAUGAUGAGGUGAAUAGGUUCGAGGUGGAAGCGUAGCGAUACGUGGAGCUGACGAAUACUA
Molecule: ribosomal RNA, 1334 nt
Filed under: Staphylococcus pseudintermedius
Lineage: Bacteria; Bacillati; Bacillota; Bacilli; Caryophanales; Staphylococcaceae
Description: partial 23S ribosomal RNA
Rfam family: Bacterial large subunit ribosomal RNA
Source: RNAcentral